CCUACGGGAGGCAGCAGUGGGGAAUAUUGCACAAUGGGGGAAACCCUGAUGCAGCGACGCCGCGUGAGUGAAGAAGUAUUUCGGUAUGUAAAGCUCUAUCAGCAGGGACGAAGAAAGACGGUACCUGACUAAGAAGCCCCGGCUAACUACGUGCCAGCAGCCGCGGUAAUACGUAGGGGGCAAGCGUUAUCCGGAUUUACUGGGUGGAAAGGGAGCGUAGACGGCUGUGCAAGUCUGAAGUGAAAGCCCAGGGCUCAACCCUGGGACUGCUUUGGAAACUGUGGAGCUAGAGUGCUGGAGAGGUAAGUGGAAUUCCUAGUGUAGCGGUGAAAUGCGUAGAUAUUAGGAGGAACACCAGUGGCGAAGGCGGCUUACUGGACAGUAACUGACGUUGAGGCUCGAAAGCGUGGGGAGCAAACAGGAUUAGAUACCCCAGUAGUC
RNAcentral lists this ribosomal RNA (441 nucleotides) under uncultured bacterium. RNAcentral describes it as "partial 16S ribosomal RNA". It matches the Rfam family "Bacterial small subunit ribosomal RNA", at positions 338 to 795 of the family's 1533-position model. The record is from RNAcentral.